GUGGGGAAUAUUGGACAAUGGGCGAAAGCCUGAUCCAGCCAUGCCGCGUGCAGGAUGAAGGCCUUCGGGUUGUAAACUGCUUUUGUACGGAACGAAAAGACUCCUUCUAAUAAAGGGGGUCCAUGACGGUACCGUAAGAAUAAGCACCGGCUAACUACGUGCCAGCAGCCGCGGUAAUACGUAGGGUGCAAGCGUUAAUCGGAAUUACUGGGCGUAAAGCGUGCGCAGGCGGUUAUAUAAGACAGAUGUGAAAUCCCCGGGCUCACCUGGGAACUGCAUUUGUGACUGUAUAGCUAGAGUACGGUAGAGGGGGAUGGAAUUCCGCGUGUAGCAGUGAAAUGCGUAGAUAUGCGGAGGAACACCGAUGGCGAAGGCAAUCCCCUGGACCUGUACUGACGCUCAUGCACGAAAGCGUGGGGAGCAAACAGGAUUAGAAACCCGGGUAGUCC
RNAcentral lists this ribosomal RNA (449 nucleotides) under uncultured bacterium. RNAcentral describes it as "bacterial SSU rRNA". It matches the Rfam family "Bacterial small subunit ribosomal RNA", at positions 354 to 796 of the family's 1533-position model. The record is from RNAcentral.